CAGUAGCCGCGGUAAUACGGAGGGGGCUAGCGUUGUUCGGAAUUACUGGGCGUAAAGCGCACGUAGGCGGCUUGGUAAGUUAGAGGUGAAAGCCCGGGGCUCAACUCCGGAAUUGCCUUUAAGACUGCCGAGCUAGUAGGUGAGAGAGGUAAGUGGAAUUCCGAGUGUAGAGGUGAAAUUCGUAGAUAUUCGGAAGAACACCAGUGGCGAAGGCGGCUUACUGGCUCAUUCUAGACGCUGAGGUGCGAAAGCGUGGGGAGCAAACAGGAUUAGAUACCCCAGUAGUCCCUGUCUCUUAUAC
RNAcentral lists this ribosomal RNA (301 nucleotides) under uncultured bacterium. Its description in RNAcentral is "partial 16S ribosomal RNA". It matches the Rfam family "Bacterial small subunit ribosomal RNA", at positions 509 to 807 of the family's 1533-position model. The record is from RNAcentral.